This 352-nucleotide unclassified non-coding RNA is filed under the name Hevea brasiliensis (rubber tree). Lineage: Eukaryota; Viridiplantae; Streptophyta; Magnoliopsida; Malpighiales; Euphorbiaceae. The record is from RNAcentral.
CGACAAUAAACAUUACAAUUUGAUAUUUUUUUCCCUUACAUAUUUUCUCUAGAACCAAAUUAAAAAAAUGCAAUGAAUGGGAAUCCCUCGAUGCCGCUGAACAGAACGUCUCCUUUCUGACGAAGUUCGUUUCGCCAUUAUCUCCAGAUUGGUGACUGUCGAUGUUGUCCAAACCCCAAAACACCCCUCUUUACUUCUUUCAUUCUCUGUAAACCUACAUAACUAGACUAACCUAUGGAUCUUCGUAAGAAGAAGCAGAAGAUGAAGUUGUUAUUGUCAGAGGAAAAAAAAAUUACAGUUAAGGCAUUGUUUUAUUUAUGUAUACUAAGCCAUAAUCCCAUAGGCAAUUAAG